AGCAGCCGCGGUAAUUCCAGCUCCAAUAGCGUAUAUUAAAGUUGUUGCAGUUAAAAAGCUCGUAGUUGAAUUUCGGGAUCAAUACGUCGGUCGUGCUUCGGUACGUACUGGCGUAAUUGAUUUCUCCCUUCUGACGAACCAUGAUGUCAUUAACUUGGUGUCAUGGGAAAUCAGGACUGUUACUUUGAAAAAAUUAGAGUGUUUAAAGCAGGCUCACGCUUGAAUACAUUAGCAUGGAAUAAUGAAAUAGGACGUUCGAUCCUAUUUUGUUGGUUUUUAGGAUCAACGUAAUGAUUAAUAGGGAUAGUUGGGGGCAUUAGUAUUCAAUUGUCAGAGGUGAAAUUCUUGGAUUUAUUGAAGACUAACUACUGCGAAAGCAUUUGCCAAGGAUGUUUUCAUUAAUCAAGAACGAAAGUUAGGGGAUCGAAGACGAUCAGAUACCGUCGUAGUCUUAACCAUAAACUGUGCCGACUAGGGAUCGGAUGAUGUUAAUUUUUAAUGACUCAUUCGGCGCCUUAAC
This 520-nucleotide ribosomal RNA is filed under the name uncultured Glomus. Its description in RNAcentral is "SSU rRNA". It matches the Rfam family "Eukaryotic small subunit ribosomal RNA", at positions 569 to 1092 of the family's 1831-position model. The record is from RNAcentral. Lineage: Eukaryota; Fungi; Glomeromycota; Glomeromycetes; Glomerales; Glomeraceae.